This 6280-nucleotide long non-coding RNA is filed under the name Sorghum bicolor (sorghum). Its description in RNAcentral is "long non-coding RNA (SBIC_LNC007573)". The record is from RNAcentral. Lineage: Eukaryota; Viridiplantae; Streptophyta; Magnoliopsida; Poales; Poaceae.
GGGCUGAACAUGAUUUCAGCAACAACAUGUUCAUGUCCAAAUGAAAAAUAUAUAAAGAGCAAGAGUGGGCAUUACACAUCUCUACUAUAAUUCAUCCAACAAAAUUAUGCUUGGUCCAAAAAAAAAAACCACCCCGCUGAGGGCCUCAACCAUUAUGUACCAAGCAAACGUACAAAGGUACAAAGGAUUUUAUCUCCAUUAAAAUCAACGUCUCAAAACCAACCAGACACAAAUCCAAUAGGGCUAGAGGAAAGUUUGAAACUUGUACCAAACUCUCAACCCCCUUCCACACUCCUUCCCCCUCAAAAGAAAAGACCGGCGGCAACGGUGUGGCGGCGUUCCGAGAGGGAUCCGCGCUGCCCAUCCUAGAUGGGCUCCUCGCUGACGAGGAAGCCAACAACCUCGAGGACGCCUUUGACUUCGUGUUCAUCUAGGUCCUGAUAAGAAAGGUAACAUGCUUACUGAUAGAAGUACUACAUGAUUUGCUUUCAUAACAUAGUAUAAUUAUAUGAUGAAUCGAACGUUACACCGAAACAUCCAUCUGGCUCCAGUUUCUGGCUGUCAUUUUGGACACAGAAGAAGGCAAACAAAAUACUGUAACAUCUAGGGAUAAAUAAUAAUCCGGAAGUCUGGCAUCUACUUUUUAUCUCACUCAUUUCCCGCCACUGAAAUUCAUUGGUACUCCGAUCCGUAGUAUUUGGUCAAAAUCUUCAUGUAUGAAAAAGGCAAAUAAGAUUUCACAUGUAUGCAUAAGUCACUUAAAAAUGAGGAAUAUAAGGAAAAAUAAUAAUCACCAAGGAUAACAUGUUUGUAGUAAAAAAACAAAGCAAGUAAAAUAGAAUAGUAGACCUACAACAACAGAGCUAGAACAUUCCAUCCAGCCAGGUGGUAAGCUUAAAGGGUCAAACAAAGAUGUUUUGUAUGGCAAGCACACAUGUAAUGUAAGGAUCACAGUUCACAGUUACCUCGUAAAUUAAUUAGGUUCAUUAUACUUCCAAAAAUAGAUGGGAAAUGAAGUAAUAUAUGAUAAUCCCAAGAUAAAUGAGGAUAUCUAUGAAAUAAGUUUCGUAACAGAGUCAUGGGAAUAUAUUAUGAAGACAUACACAUUAGAAUGAGCAGUUUCGAAUUAUAGGAAAGCAGAAAGUCAUCGCUAAAGGCUAGUUUUUAUGUACAUGAAAGAUAGUAUACUUUUGUUUUGUCAUCAGAUUUAGAUCUUGGCCUUAGCACACAUUGAAACUAAAGUCUGUGUAAAAAAAAACAGUAAGCCUUAGUAUCAACGGAUCAUAUUCUGUAGUCCAUGUAGUAUCCACAAUAAAAUAUGGACCGCGAAUGAACCAUCAGCACAUGUAUGGCAUUCGAUGUAACAGGAAAUCAUAUAUGAAGUAUUAGUGUAGCAAGGAAUCAAAAUUCUACAAUGCAACCACAGGCAUUAUGGAGUUGAAAGUUUGAAUGUCGGAAAGGUUGUUUGCAUGGAAUGAACUCUGCACUACUUUGUAAUAUGUAUAAGUCAUGACAUCAGCGCAUCUAACACACAUUCAUGGAUUCCUCAGUACAAAGCAAAUGCAUGAUAAUACUCACCUCAAAUGAUUGUUGCUAGGGGCAUAAAAAUUUGAUGUUAUGCUAAUGAACUGAACAAACAAUAUGUGCAGAUGAUUUCUCCUGCAAUGAAAAUUAUUGGCAAAGAAAAUAUUAGUACUAAAGUCUAUACUUAUGGUGACCGUCAUCAUUCAGAGGUAGUAGUGGACAUACUGGUAGCAAAGUACUUUUUGAUUACAUGUCUACUUGGCUACUUUUAUGGUACAUAAACAGAUACUUAAAAAAGUUAUUACUGGGAAAACCUUGUUCAGUCAAAGCAGGAAAACAGGAAGACACACUGAAUCUCAACUAUUGAAGAAGGUAAAAUACACCGCACAACAACACUACAAACAAAGGGAUUGCCACACUAAACGCAGCAACUAAACAAACAUAGGCAGGUAUGACCUAAAUAGGGAAGCGGCAUCAAAGUAAGGCCUUGUUUAGUUCGCGAAAUUUUUUGGCUUUGGCUACUGUGGCACUUUCAUCUGUAUUUGACAAUUAUUGUCCAAUCACGGACUAACUAGGCUCAAAAGAUUCGUCUCGCAAAUUACAGGCAAACUGUGCAAUUAGUUUUUGUUUUUGUCUAUAUUUAAUGCUCCAUGCAUGCGUUCAAAGAUUCAAUGUGACGGGGAAUCUUGAAAAUUUUUGGAAACUAAACCAGGCCUAAGGCUGAAAGCGGUUGGUUUUUUUCUUUUUUGCUUUUUUUGGUAAAAUAAUGGUUGGCUUAUGUAAUUUCAGAAUUUGUGGAUGUACAUAGGUACUAAUACAGCAUUGGAAUAGAAAAUUGUGGAUGCAAACAGGUACUAAUUGCAGCACUGAAACACUGAGAAGCACUACACUUCUGAAUAGUUUAUAAUUUACUGACCGGGGCAUGGGGCAGUCAAAAAUUGUGUCAUAAUAUAUUUUCCUAGAAGAAUUGUUGAAGUAGUAAAAGAGUGCAAUUCCUCACAUCACAGGAUCAUGGCACUUUAAUUUAGUAGGCCUACCUUUUUAAGAGCAUAUCUUAUGGUGAUGGAAUUCCAUUUCCUUCAAAUCUGAGAUAGAAGCCUUCAUACCACACAUUAAAAGGAGAGGUCCUGAUCUGAUCAGUGGACAUGAACAAUUCAGUUGUAGAAUAUUAAUAACGCUCCAUAUUUAAACAUGAAACUAUUUCUGUUCCAUAUCUGCGCAACAUUCGGAAGGUUUAGAUUGGAUGUGAAAGAGCUGACUCAGCAUUCAACAGGAAUGAACUCGGAACUCAAACAUGAAAAAUAAGUUACUUUAGUGAAAGCAUCCUUCUGUACCCAUCGAUGCUCAAUAUAUAGCUUCAAUCUGGUCCUUCUGUACCCAUUGACGCUCAAUAUAAGCUUCAAUCUGGUACUACAUAUGAACUUCAAUCAAACAAUAAGAAUGCACUGUAAAGAUUUCUGAGGGAAUUACAGUAAAAUGUAGGAAUUAUUUUGGCUAUAUAUAAACAUGCAUAGAGAUCAGGGAAAAUUACCAGAUUGAGUGAGAAGGAAGGAGCAUCCAGGAGUGCUUGUUGGGAAGUGUGAGGAGAUUGUUGGCCAUGAUGGAUGCACCGUGAGGAUGCUGACCGAAUGGAAAAGGAAAAUUACCAAGCAAACUCGUCUUGGACAUUUCAUCAAACACUUGAAGGGCAGAAAAUAGGAAGGGUAGAGGAACAACGGUUGGGGGCCUCAGGUGCCAGGGCGGUUGGGGACAGCCAUGCCGGUCACCGGAGCUGCCGGCGCGGGCAGUGAGCUAGAGCUCCAGAGACACGGGCAGGCAGACGGCAGUGGCCUGUGAGAAGAUGAGGAAGGCAUGUCACGUUGCAGGAGGCAUAGAAGAUGGGAGGACGGGAAGGACGAACCCCGAGGUUUUUGGAGAGGAUGUGACGGGGCAAACGGGAAGGGUGAACCCAGAGGCUGCUAGAGAGGUAGUGAUGGGGCAACUUGGCUGGCAUCCAUUCUGCAGAUCGGGCAGCUGGAAAGAGGCGAUGACGUGGCCGCUGCAGGAGCCGAUUUUGGUAUACAGAAAUAAGGUUUAUUAUGGUAGAUAAGGACAGAUAGCUUAGCAGGUACCAAAACUUGAUCGGGCUAAGCAUAGAAUAUCAGGAAUGUUAUGGAAACCAAUAGCCUGAAGAAAACCACUUUUAAGUUGUUUUAACCCAUAGGGAAGUCUUGUAAGUUGUAACCCAUUCAACUCAAAAAGGUAUCAACGACUAAAAUUGGUAGUUGUAGGAUUAGUACUUGAGAAAGCAUUAUUUUUCAUGUAAUAAUCCUUAUGCGUUACAUGUCUUAGUUUUCAGUUGUUAAAAGAAGCUAUGCGCUCAACAGGUAACAAAAUACGAUCCUAGAAAUAUUGUAAAAAUUCGAUGAUUAGAUGACUAUUUUCUAAGAAAGGUUAUAAUUGAAAAUCACAUAUUAGUGAGGCAUCCAUGUGAGGAUAAGAUAUUUUAAAAAGUGCAUUCAACUUAUAUAAUCAAUACCUAGGACGGUGAAUAUCAUGCAUUGAUCACAACAAAAUUCAGCUAACUAUAGUUCAAAUUGUAGCUUUAAUGUUUUGUUGCAUAAAUGAAUACAACUAUGUAUUUCUAAUUUCAGUUCUAGCAUUUACAGCAUGCUGGCAAUCCCUGAAUUUAUAGGAAUUGAUCUAAUUACGGGUAAAACUCCGUCUAUGGUGGGGUGCCUAUGGCAUCCAAGCAUAGCAGGUCCCAACCCUGGUUAAGGAGGAGGGUUGUGUUAGGCUUGGCGAGCCAAUGUAAAACUUAGCUACUCUUAUGGAGAUGAAACCCAAAAGAAUCCCGUUGGGGCGUAACCCUCUUAGCGACGCGCCAUGUCGGAACCCGGGUAUGGUGUUAAAUAAGCAAGGGCCGGGUCGUCACCCACGUGACGUGCCGUGUCGUGAUCUGGGCACGAUGUCAAGUGAGCAAGGGCCGGGUCAUUGCAUCCUUAGUGGCGCGCUACAUCGGCGCCGGGGUGUGGUGCAAAAUGAGCAAGGGUCUUCACACCAGUCUCCACGGGUGCGAAGGGUAAGGAAGCUAGUCGAGCCAACUAGGAUUCGUUUAGGUAGCUGGAAUGUAGAGUCCCUUAUGGGUAAGUUAAGAGAGUUAAAGUGGAUACAGCGGUUAGGAGGUGGGUACUUCCAUGGAAAAUCACGAGCAGCCACAGUUGUCGGCUUGUGGCAUUCAGGGUUUUUUAUCUUAACUCUGUGCUUGGAGCAUAACUUAUUGCAGUUACAAAAUCAACAAUCAUGUGAAGUUGGAUCUCAAGCAAGAGGUGAGUUACAAAAUCAACAAUCAUGUGAAGUUGGACCUCAAGCAAGAGGUGAGUCCAGCAAGUUACUUCCAUCUGUCAAGCAAAAUAACACACAAAAAAAAAAAACUCACUGAUCAUGAUCCCAUUGACAAUCAUUACUCAGAAUGCAUUGCUUCCUCUGGUCUAUGCAAGAUUGCUUCUGGAUCACCAGCAAGGUGAUGUGGUCAUUAAGAGGGAAAACAGUUGAAUUAAAAGUGGCAUUAGCACAUGGGGAAACCUUCAGCAUCACGACCAUUGCAGUCUGAGAAUGUAUUUAUCAAGAAGGUAUUUAGAUUUCAAGGGGUUGCAUCAAGAACACCUCCAUUUGUUGUUACCUAGUUAUGACAGACAUAUCAAACACCUUGUGCCUGAAUUCAAUCAGUAUUUAAGUGCUGCUUGAACUGAAUAGAAAAGCAAAUAGCUACUUAAGAACUGAAACAUGGUAUUCUCUUUGCACACCUAAAUCAUAAAUAGCUAGUCCAGGACAGUGACCAAGCUAUCACUAGUCCCUAAAUCAUAAAUAGCAGGUAUCAAAGACAUUUCACACACAUUAGUAGCUAUCACACAGUGAGUACAAAGAGGACUGGCUAGAACGAGUACUGCAACAAGAUCACAAAGACAGCCCCAAUAAGCAUUGAAGCAUGGUAUACACAUGGAGACAAAGCGAUGUGCUGUUUACCUCGUGGGAAUUUUGUCGAAUAUCUUCUGUUUGUCAGCUUGGAUUUUGGAUUGAACCUCAGCAUGAGGGGGACCGGGAGACCGAGGCUGGGGAGAGCGAUGAACCACGGCUUGGGUGGAGCCUAGCGGCGCUGGACGGCCGAGACCUUCAUUGCGAGGGCCGAGCGCUCCACCGACGGCGACGCCGCGCCGGGGUCGCCGUGGGAGGGGGGCGCCUCCGGGGCUGCAGCGCUCGAGCUUCACGACCGCGCCGGAGUGGCCGCAGCCGCCGUGCCUGCGCUCGCCGCCCGCGUCGGGGUGGCCGGAGCCGCCACGCGCGCACCGCCGGCCGCGCCGGGAUGUCCGAGACCGGAGAGGCCGGGGUCGCCGCGCCCGCACCUCGCCUGCGCCGGGGUCACCGGGAACGACGCGCACGCACCCGCCCACGCAUGGGCUGCUGGCCCACAGGGCCGCGCCGGGCUGAGAGAGGUGCGGGGGCGGCGGAGGACCCUCGCGGCUCUGAUUCCUCUGCACGACGGGGACGGGCAGAGGAGUCGCUUUACGGGUCGACGACCGAACCCAACCGAACCGACCCAACAAGAACGCACGCUCUCCCCCCUGUCACUUGACACUCACUCCUGCUGUCCCCCACUCCCCCUAGGUGCGGAUGACCCGGGGGCCGCCGCCGGCGGCCAAGAACGUCCGGCGCGGAUGCUCGCGCUGGCCGCUGGUGACGGUGGGGAGGACACCGGGAUAAACUACUACUAAGGAAC